This 520-nucleotide ribosomal RNA is filed under the name uncultured Entrophospora. RNAcentral's name for it is "SSU rRNA". It matches the Rfam family "Eukaryotic small subunit ribosomal RNA", at positions 569 to 1084 of the family's 1831-position model. Lineage: Eukaryota; Fungi; Glomeromycota; Glomeromycetes; Entrophosporales; Entrophosporaceae. The record is from RNAcentral.
AGCAGCCGCGAUAAUCCCAGCUCCAAUAGCGUAUAUUAAAGUUGUUGCAGUUAAAAAGCUCGUAGUUGAAUUUCGGGAUCGGCAUGUUGGUCGUGCCUUACGGGGUAUGAACUGGCAUCGCCGGUUUCUCACCUUCUGGAGAAUCGUGAUGCUCUUAAUUGGGUGUUACGUGGAUCCAGGACCUUUACCUUGAAAAAAUUGAGUGUUUAAAGCAGGCAUAUUGCUCGAAUACAUUAGCAUGGAAUAAUAAAAUAGGACGGUUUGGUUCUAUUUUGUUGGUUUCUAGGAUCACCGUAAUGAUUAAUAGGGAUAGUUGGGGGCAUUAGUAUUCAAUUGUCAGAGGUGAAAUUCUUGGAUUUAUUGAAGACUAACUACUGCGAAAGCAUUUGCCAAGGAUGUUUUCAUUAAUCAAGAACGAAAGUUAGGGGAUCGAAGACGAUCAGAUACCGUGUAGUCUUAACCAUAAACUAUGCCGACUAGGAAUCAGACGAUUGUUAAUUUUUUAAUGUACUCGUUUGGC